This 424-nucleotide ribosomal RNA is filed under the name uncultured Rudaea sp. RNAcentral describes it as "bacterial SSU rRNA". It matches the Rfam family "Bacterial small subunit ribosomal RNA", at positions 358 to 774 of the family's 1533-position model. The record is from RNAcentral. Lineage: Bacteria; Pseudomonadati; Pseudomonadota; Gammaproteobacteria; Lysobacterales; Rhodanobacteraceae.
GGAAUAUUGGACAAUGGGCGCAAGCCUGAUCCAGCAAUGCCGCGUGUGUGAAGAAGGCCUUCGGGUUGUAAAGCACUUUUAUCUGGAACGAAACACGCAAGGUUAAUACCUUUGCGGACUGACGGUACCAGAGGAAUAAGCACCGGCUAACUUCGUGCCAGCAGCCGCGGUAAUACGAAGGGUGCAAGCGUUACUCGGAAUUACUGGGCGUAAAGCGUGAGUAGGUGGUUUCUUAAGUCUGCUGUGAAAGCCCCGGGCUCAACCUGGGAAUUGCAGUGGAUACUGGGAAGCUAGAGUGCGGUAGAGGGUAGUGGAAUUCCCGGUGUAGCGGUGAAAUGCGUAGAGAUCGGGAGGAACACCAGUGGCGAAGGCGGCUACCUGGACCAGCACUGACACUGAGUCACGAAAGCGUGGGGAGCAAACA